Molecule: long non-coding RNA, 2565 nt
Organism: Rosa chinensis
Lineage: Eukaryota; Viridiplantae; Streptophyta; Magnoliopsida; Rosales; Rosaceae
Exons: 7
Source: RefSeq, a predicted model, not a curated record
CCAUUGUCUGAUGGCUUGCACAUGCAUCAAGUAAUAGCUUAUCCAUAUAUGUGUGCAAAUGAGCCACCAUUCAGACCAAAUUAGUACACCUGAAAACAGAAGAAAAAGAAAAAAAAGGCCCUAGACCCACUGCACAAUAGCAUUUACAUCGCAACGAGCCAACGACUCCGACACCAUAGCAUUCACUCUCUUCGACACAGCCUCUCUCGCUCUCUCGACAACUCUCCUAAAACAGACAACUCUCCUAAAACAAACUCUUUCAAUAUGUUGUUCUUUUCUUCCCGACCCCUCCCCUCUCCGGGUCUCCUCAUCUCUACUGCACCUAAGAUUUCCCUAUCUCAGUUUCAAUAUCCAAAUCUCCUCAUCUCUAUUACACCUGAGAUCUGCCUCUCUCCAUUCCUCUCUCAAUUUCUACAUCUCACUCACUCCAGAUCUCAUCAGAAGAGAGACGUCGGGUAUGGGAGACAGGUAUGUGGGCACAAGACGGCGUUUGGAUCCGAAGGCUGGAGAAGCAAAGAGAAGCUGAGAUAGGUUUCCGAACCCGACCUCAGAUCUUCGGCCAUUGCCUCACUCGUGGAAGCCACAUGUCUAAUUAGGGUUUCGGGAAUUGGGGAAGCUGGACCCUGAGGAAUUGGGGAUUGUAGAGUUUGGGAGGAGGGGUCGAGGGUGUAGAAGAUAAGGUCACCGGAGGUGAUACAGAGGGAGGCGAGGGAGUCGUCGGGAGAAGAGGCGUGGAGGUCAUCGCGGCGGUUGAGGGAGAGGUGGAGAGAAGAGGGAGCGGCGGAGAUGGAUUCGGAGAGGGAUUGUUUGAGGUGGUGGAGAGAGCAGAGAUUCGGGACCUCGAUUCAAAGAGUCUGUUUGGACUCAAUAGCAGGGCAGUUAUCAUAUAUCUUUCAGAUUUUGUGUAAUUUGAAUUGGGUUUCUGGUUUUCUUGGUUGUAAUUUAAACAUCUCUUCUUGGAUCUGCCAAGAUUCCUCUACAUGUUGCAUUGGUUUUAGUUUCUUUUAGGCAAUUCUGUCUGAAGGUAGAUGUUUCUGUUAUCUCUGGGUGUUGUUUAGUGCAUAUUGUUGUAAUGGGUCCCUCCAGUUUCUCUGUCCCUUUUCUGGUUCUUGCUCGAGGCAUUGUGUUUUGUGAGUUUUGUUCUGUGAAACCCAAUAAGGUUUCUUUCCCUCACUGAUAGGAUUUGAUUUGAUUUGGUUUGGUUUUCUGGGUGUACUUCUUUUCCCAUUUUAGUUAUCUUCAAUUGUUGUGAACUGGAGAGAUUGGAGAAAAAGACCCCAAAAGAGGAGAUUGUGUGGAAGUUGUGAUCUGUGAUUGAAAGGACAGUUCUUGUGAGCUUUGAGAAGAUAAAAAAUUAUCCUUCAGGAGAAAGGAACAAAAAGAAGGAUAAGUUACAUUUUGUUGUACUUGAGCUGGAUGUUGGUGUCGGCUUGUGUAACAAAGGUCAGUGAGGUGUCUGAAUUUUACAGCUUCUCAAUUUUGUAUAUCUGGAGAAUGGAUAAGACCAUUUACAAUUGCCUGAAAUCACUGAAAUUGGUUUCAGAGGGUGUAGAGUUGUGGCAGUGAAAGAUUGUGUAUUGUGUACUCAAAGCUUGUUUCCAACAUUUACUGAAGGGCCUUGGAUUUGAAUUUUGGGGAAUCUGAUUUGCUUGAAGAAAAUUGAGUAGAUGUUUGGAAAAAGUUGGGAGUGAAAAUAACUGAUUUGGACAGAAGACGUGGAGAUGGCUGCAAAACUUCUGCAUUCUUUAGCUGAUGACAACCCAGAUUUGCAGAAGCAAAUAGGAUGCAUGAAUGGGAUUUUCCAAAUUUUCGAUCGACACCAAGUCCUCACUGGUAGGAGGAUUAGCCACCACAAGAGGCUUCCUCCAGGGAAUUUGCACUAUAGCAAUGGUGGCCUGGAAAGAGAGUCCAACAAUCCCUACCAUUGGCAAGCGGUGUGGGAUGCAACUGCAGCUGAUCCUAAAUUGCUGGUCUUUUUGAAAUCGUACAAGAAUUUCUUACACAUUGAAUCUGGGUAAACACGGUAUCGAGAAACAACCGUUUGAGCUCCCUGAUUUCAUUGCUGCAACUGGUUCUGAGAAAAUUAGACAGAGACGUUCCUCAAUAGGAUAGGUCCUGAGGGGGAAUCUGCAUUAUGGAGACUUGCCUGACACACAUUAAAUCAUCAAUGAGGAUCACCAUGGACCUCUCUUUAGUUCGCAACAAACGCUGAAGUUGAUGAACUGCGUAAUGAACUCGCAAAUUAUGAGGUGAAGAACCUGCUAAAGUUGGGAAGUGUGCUGGGAUGAAUCAUUGUUGGUCCUUUUUGGGUAUAUGCAAGGUCUGAAGUGCAUUAGGCAAGAUGUUGGUCUUUUUUGGGUUGGCCUGAAUUUCAUUUCUUCUAUAGAUGUGAUUAUGUACAGAUGAGACUAUUUUAGCCACAUUUGUAGAUGUUUUUUUUUUUUUGUAUGAGAGACCAGUAGGUGUGAUCUUUUCUAUUUUUUUGGAUACAAUUAGCAUUAUUAGAUCCAUUUAUGGGAUUAUAACAACUAUUUAUUAUAAGAAAAUUAUUGUUCAUUUGGUCAA